GUGCAGCGGGCCCUGGUGGUGUCUCCAGUCUCAGCCGACAGUGGGCAGAGGUAGCCCUGGCACUGCCCGAGCCCGGCUGGGGUGUGGCCAGGAUCUGGGGCCUCAGGGAUCUGGCCCUUUCCCAGGGUCCGUUCCUGCUCACGAGGCCGCCACCUGCGUCGUGGUUGGUGAAGACGCACCGCCCCAUUCCCGUGCAUUUCGCUGAUUGCCACCGGCUCUGGAGCUGCCGGUAGCGUGGGCCAGCAGCACCGCGGGCCAGGAGCACCGCGGGCCAGCAGCACCGUGGGCCAGCAGCACCGCGGGCCAGCAGCACCGUGGGCCAGCAGCGCCCGUGAGGGGCCGUGGACUCCCCGGCCUUAGAGUCUAUUGAUGACUUGAACAAAUGGGCCCUGUUUCUUGUCUCUCCCUUCAUACUUGAGGCAGAGCACAUAGCAUUUGUGACAGAGAGCAUCUGGGCACAAGGUGACAGUUUCCAGAAACCAUCGUCUGCAGAAACAGUUGUAAAAUGGUCGGACUGCUGUUUGCCGUUAGCAUGCCGACCCGGGGAUCCCUACCAAUUAAUUGCUAAAGCAAGCGUGGACGACUUCAGCAAGCUCGGGGUUGCGUUUAUGGAGGAGAGGCUGCAGAUGGACAAUGGACUCAUAGCCCAGAAGAUUGUCUCAGUUCACUUAAAGGACUCCGCGCUGAAGGACGUCAACGAGGCCUCCACCAAGCAAGUCCAAGCCCUGCCGCUGAACCCAGAACCUUCCCUCGAGGCCGAGCCUGUGCAGGGCGUCAUGGAGCAUGCUGGCCAAGGUGACGCGAGGGCUGGUGAAGGCCCUUCCCUUCGGAGGAGGGGCUGUGCCUCUGGGGGUGAGCCUGCCGCGGAUGGCGACCCGGGGCAGAGCUCCGCUGAGCACCAUCAGCUCCACCUGUCCAGCUGCCACGAGUGCUUGGAACUUGAGAACAGUACCAUCGAGUCAGUGAGGUUUGCAUCUGCAGAGGACAUUCCAGAACUUCCCUAUGAUCACAGCAGCGGUGUGGAGGGUGCUGCCGACGAACUCUGCCCUGAAAGGGGAGGGAGGAGAGUCAACGUUUCGGGAAAGGCACCCAAUAUCUUGCUGUAUGUGGGCCCCAGUUCCGAGGAAGCCCUAGGCCGGCUCCAGCAGGUGCGGUCUGUCCUGAGCGACUGUGUGGACACGGACAGCUAUACUCUCUACCAUCUGCUGGAAGACAGUGCCCUCAGGGACCCAUGGCCAGACAACUGUCUGCUCUUGGUUAUUGCCACCAGGGAACCCAUCCCCGAAGACAUACACCAGAAGUUCAUGGCCUAUCUCUCUCAGGGGGGGAAGGUGCUGGGCCUGUCUUCCUCUUUCACGUUUGGUGGAUUUCAGGUGACAAGCAGGGACAUGCUCCGGAACACAGCCCAGAACUUGGUUUUCUCAAAGGCUGAUGGGAGUGAGGUACGGCUCAGUGUCCUGAGCAGCGGCUGUGUUUAUGAGGAAGGCCUCACCCCAGGCAGACUCCAGGGCCACCUCGAGAAUCCGGACAAGGACAGGAUGAUUGUGCACGUGCCUUUUGGAAGCCGAGGAGGGGAGGCCGUUCUCUGCCAGGUGUACCUGGAGCUCCCUCCAAGCGCUUCCGUGGUGCAAACCCAGGAAGACUUUAACGUGCUGAAGUCCAGCAACAUGAGAAGGCAUGAAGUCCUCAAGGAGAUCCUGACCACCCUUGGCCUAAGCUGUGAUGUCCGGCAGGUUCCCACCCUAACACCGCUGUACUUGCUGCUGGCCACCGAGGAAAUCCGGGAUCCUGUGAUGCAGUGGAUUGAGAGGCAUGUGGAUCCUGAAGGGAUCAUAACAUCCAGCAAGCUCUCCCUUAAGUUCAUGUCCUCUUACACAUCUGAAGUGGAAAUCAGCCCGUCUUCUGUACCCGUGGUUACCAAUCCCGAAGCCUUCUCCUCAAAGCACUUUAACUUAGACACGUAUCGACGAAAUCUGCAGACCUCGCGGCUGGGGAAAGUAAUUCUGUUUGCCGAAGUGACCUCCACGACCAUGAGUCUCUUGGAUGGGCUGAUGUUUGAGAUGCCACAGGAAAUGGGUUUAAUCGCCAUUGCUGGUCGCCAGACCCAGGGCAAAGGAAGGGGCCCGAAUGCCUGGCUGAGCCCUGUGGGGUGUGCCCUUUUCACUCUGCUGGUCUCCGUCCCCCUGAGGUCACACCUGGGACAGAGGAUUCCAUUUGUCCAGCAUUUGAUGUCCCUGGCUGUGGUGGAGGCGGUGCGGUCCAUUCCAGAGUAUGAGGAGAUCAACUUGCGAGUGAAGUGGCCCAAUGAUAUUUAUUACAGUGACCUCAUGAAGAUUGGUGGAGUUCUGGUUAAUUCAACGCUCAUGGGAGAAACAUUUUAUAUCCUUAUCGGCUGUGGAUUUAACGUAACUAACAGUAACCCUACCAUAUGCAUCAACGACCUCAUCGAAGAGCACAAUAAGGAGCACGAGACAGGCCUGAAGCCCUUACGAGCCGAUUUUCUCAUAGCCAAGGCGGUGACUGUGCUGGAGAAACUGAUUGACAGGUUUCAGGACCAAGGGCCGGAUGGCGUCCUUCCUCUCUAUUAUAAAUACUGGCUGCACAGUGGUCAGCGAGUCCGCCUGGGCAGCGCCGAGGGGCCGCAGGUGUCCAUCGUGGGCCUGGAUGAUUCUGGGUUCCUGCAGGUCCAUCGGAAGGGUGGUGAGGCUGUGACCACCGUGCAUCCAGAUGGCAACUCCUUUGACAUGCUGAGAAACCUCAUCCUGCCCAAGCAACAGUAGCCCACGUCCCCAGACAGCUCGGAUCCGCCCUGCCGCAGCAGCACGCCACAACGGGGGAGCUCCUGGGCUGCUCCUGGGAGCUCCGAGCAAGCACUGGCUGUCGCCUUUGCCUGCCUAGGGCCCCAGAAAGGAAUGUAGAGCUGUAGGCCAGUGUCUUCUCCGAGUCAUUUGUUAGCUCUUCAGGUUAUUGGUUCCCUGUCUCCGCCCCCUACCCCACCCCACCCCACCCCACCCCCCGGGUUUGGGUUUUUACUUUGUCUUUUUAUAUCUGUGGUUGUAUUUGGUGUUUGAAGAUGCAUCUGGUGAGGAUGGACAGGCGAAGACUCAAUUUAGCUUAGGAGUUCGGUUUGCCAAACUCCUAAGUCAAAGUGCUCUUUCCCACAUGGGCUUGGACUUACGUUUACUAGGAGAAAAUGAGGGGCAGGGAGUUGGAAAUAGCAAUGAGGUAGUGCAAAUAUUUCCUAGGUAGUGAAGGCUGUUCCAACAACGAACGCGCUGAGCUCAGGUGAAUGCUGAGUUAGCGGUCCGCCAUGACUGCUUGUGAUCCUCCAGGGGAUUCUCCCAGAACACACGGUGCUGCUUAGGCAUUGGGCUGCUCUUUGAUUUGGUUCUGGGGUUGUUGUUGUUAUUUUUCUUAAUCAAGGUGGGCUACCUGAAGAGUGGCUGCAGUGACCCCCACGUGGCUGUGAUGGCCUCGGGGAGGAAGUAAGUUUCUCACUUUGCUCUUAUGCAAAGAGCACUCCUUCCCAGGGUCAGAUGGGUCAAGUUUUAGGCUUUUAAGCCAAGAUGGCACCUUCUUUGGAGGCUGAUGCUAAGCCCAGGUUGGAGAUAAAGGCUCACUGUUCUGCCCACGUGAGGGACGAUGCUUGGAACUUUUAAGCCAGUCGUCGGCUCUGUUAGAAUGUGGAGCGUUCCCACAGGGCUGUCCUCAUGCGGGAUGGCGGGCGUGGCACUGUAUUACAAGUCGAGAUUUUCUGCCCCCUAUUUCAUUUUAUUGUCAUGAGAGAAAGAGAUAUUGACUCUAAAGUUUGGAGGAGUGUGCGUGUGCGUGCAUGUGCGUGCGUGCGUGCGUGCGUGUGUGUGUGUGUGUGUGUGUGUGUGUGUGUGUGUGUGUGCCUGAGCACUCACAUAUGACUUUAAAAGAGAUGUUCAAACUCCGACGUGUCCAUGGAAGAACAAAGGAAAGGAAGCCUUUCUAGGUUUGUUUCCAGAUGUACGUGCGCUUCCCAUGUACCUCCCGUCUCUGUGGAGUUUGUGAACUGUACCCAUUACCACCCAGCCUUAGAGAACCAAUUCCUGUCUGCUCUCCCGCUUCCUGCCCAUCGGACUGCAGUUAGUGGAAGGAAGCUGAAGCAGCGGAGGGAAAGCUUUGAACAAGAUCCCCUCAUCGCAAACGAGCACCAUCUUUAUCCAGGUCUUACGUAGUCAGGCCAAACUCCAGAAACCCGAGGUUUUCAGUAUAAAAACCCAUCCACCUUCAACCUAGCACCGACAACCCCACUUGAAGCAAGAAAUAACAUAGUAAAUUCCACCAACCUGACCUAUGUUUGAAGGCAUGUAAAUUUAAAAGAACUUUAGAAAGUAACUUUUUUUUUUUUUGCAAAUAAGACUUCAACUAAAAAUUUUCUCAAAAAGAUUGUGUGUGUGUGUGUGUGUGUGUGUGUGUGUAAUUUUAGUUGAGGUCUUUUUUUUUUUUUAAUUCAUGUGAGUUUAAAUAAAACUCUACACCACCCCGAAAUUACAAAAUGACCGACCCUUGAGAGGGCGUCUGUAAAAUGUCAUCGAGAACGAAGAUCUCCAGGCUGAUGUUGCAAGCUUCGUUUCUCAGACUUUGUAAUAUAAGUCCCGCUGUCUCCCAGGACAGCCGUCAUUGCAUUUUAAAUUUCUUUGGGGGAUUAUUUAAUGAAAAACAUGCUGUUUUGUUUUAAACCGAAAGCCUAUUCUGGGUAGUUCUACUUUGGGAAAAAAUGUUAUCAUUUAAUUUCCUUUCUGUAAGUUAAAACUAAUGAAGUGUGGUCAUGGCAGAGCAGACAGAGAUGUUCUGGCCCUGGCAGCCGGCCUCUGAGUAGUUACACUGUUUCGGGGUAUUCUCGAUUAUGCAACCAUGACACCCACUUGUCCUGAGAGAGAGAAAGAAGCCUUGAAGCAGAUGCUUCCCAUUAACCUGGUGUUGCCUCACGUGAACCAAAGACGUCAAAGUCCCCAUGGUAGAGAGCAUUCUGCUGAUGGGGGUGGGGAGGCUGCCACACUGUACCUGCUCCAUGCAAGGGUAUCUGCUACUCAGCAGCCCCAGAUCUCCGGGAACCUUACAAAGUCUUAAGGGAAUCUUUGCUGUCUCCUCACCUUGAGAUGUGGCCACCUAACUCAGAAUCUGCAUAUGCUGUAGAGCAGGUUACUCCUGAUGUCAAGCUGCUUACAUAUCCCCCACCCCACCCCCCAGGCCCGUGUCGGAAGGCACACACAGCAGAAACUGGGUUUCAUAUGACCCAGCUAGAGCAGUGAGGGAGCCCUGGCAGGGAGGGCUGGGAGAUGUGUGUCCUGUGGAUCUCACUGUGCACGAUGACAUGACCCAAUGUGAAUGUCCUGUCUGCAGCAUGGUCAGAUACACACCCAGUGAGGGACCACAGACUCUGGGGGUUCCCCUAUACCUUGCACACUGUGUGGUAGUCCCCUGGCCUACCUCACAGGGCGCUUCCAGAAUGCAAGAGGGGCAUCUUAGGAGCUUUGCUUUCCCGACUGCCAGAAAUGGGACAUCCUCAUUCCUGGUUCAUCACUAUGCAUCUUUGAAAUAAACAAAAAUGUAAACCUUUGCUAUUUUUUAUUUUUUAGCUUUUCAAAGAAUCAUCUCUGAAAAGAAUUACUGUAAACCAAUGCCUAUAAAGCAAGUCUACCAAAAUAAACUUUUAAGAUUUUUCAAUAUGA
This is a non-coding RNA of Peromyscus maniculatus bairdii (prairie deer mouse), 5702 nucleotides long. The record is from RefSeq and is a predicted model, not a curated record. NCBI's taxonomy places the organism in Eukaryota, Metazoa, Chordata, Mammalia, Rodentia, Cricetidae.